AUGCCCGCUGCAGUGGAACAAGCCAUGAUUGCCAACCCAUGGAUACUUGGUGGUGAAGACAUAUCUCAAGGGGUGGUGGAUCUGGGCGUCACGACUACUAAACCUAUUCGGGAUUUUUGGCAAUGUCACUACAAUGGGUGCAACAAUGGAGGGUGCCUCCAUUAUAGGAUACACACUUGUCAUGUGAUGUUUUUUUCAUUUCAAAACACAAAUAUAUAUUUUUCAUUUAAAGACUCUCUCUCUCUCUCUCUCUCUCUCUCUCUCUCUCUCUCACACACACACACACACACACACACACACACACAUGAAUAUUACCUGAAUUCAUAUAGUUUUACAAAAGAGAACUUUAUAUACAACUGGAUUUAUUGUACUCUAGUUUGA
This 381-nucleotide ribosomal RNA is filed under the name Triticum aestivum (bread wheat). Its description in RNAcentral is "partial small subunit ribosomal RNA". The record is from RNAcentral. Lineage: Eukaryota; Viridiplantae; Streptophyta; Magnoliopsida; Poales; Poaceae.